GUCUGAAAAGGAAGUUGAAGAAGACAAAGCAGGAGGAAGAAGAGAGAGAGAAGGAGGAGGAGAGUACAUUUAAAACUUCUCAAGAGAAACCCUGACGCCCAGAGGCCUGCCCACCACAUGGCCCGCCUGCAGCAGGAACCACUACAAUGUGCAAUAGGUGGUGUUUACAUCUUACCAUCUUACUGGACUCUUCCUGUGAGGCUCUUCACAUCCCUUUAAGAAGAGCAGCAUUUCCCUCGUGUGAAUGUAGAGGUAAGCUCAGCUCCCUGUUUGCCGGGAGUAUCUAAAGCAGUGGUUCUUACCCUGUGGGUUGAGACCCUCAGAGGGGUCGCAUCUCAGAUGAUAUCCUGCAGUCAGAGAUCCUGCACAUCAGAGAUCCUGCAAUCAGAGACCCUGCACAUCAGAGAUCCUGCAGUCAGAGAUCCUCCAGUCAGAGAUCCUGCACAUCAGAGACCCUGCACAUCAGAGAUCCUGGCUGAUGCUUACCACAAUGCCAAAGGAACUGUAUUAAAGGGUUGCAGCAUUAGGAAGGUUAAAAAUCACUGGAAAAAGGCAAAUGUCUGAACAAUAACUGUUUGUCUUUGAAGGCCACAUAGUCCAGUAAAACGUGACAUUGACCCAUUUCAGAUGACUUUGACCCGACUUGUGAAAUAUUAACCUUGACAUUAUUGUGGUACAGCACAUUCUCCUCUGAGGGCCACUACCCACUCUAAAGAUACUCUGAAUCAAUACAAGUCGAAGGAAACUUGCCCAGAAAAACACACAUGCGACUUCCAGGUCCUCCUUGAAAGGAGUCAAGGGAAGAUGAAGAAUUUUGCUUCUUUCAACCAUAAAUAUUAGUUUCUUUACCCCAUCACGAGAUUCUAUUAUUUGAGAAUAAUUUCUGCACGCAUCCUCUGAAAUCCUUAAAGCACCUUACUGAAGUUCAGUUUCUCCCCUUUUCAUCUUCCUACCAAAUUUGUGGAUACCCAAUCUCGAAUCAGAGAGGGACAAGAAUUGCCUGGAGUCACACGGCAUCUGGCAGUUCCACGAUCCCUCAGUGUUUCUACUUGUUUGUUUGUUUGUUUGUUUGUUUGCUUUUUCCCAUUUGUGUCCUAUCUGGCUGAAGCUCCAGCUGCUGCUGCAGUCUCACUCUCUGUGGGAGGUCACAAGCCACCAGCCAUCAGUCCAGUAAGGAAGUGUUCUGUACACCUUUAGCUGCAGCUGGCAUAGAGCUCAGGGGCGGCUGUCCCUCAAGAAGCUGACAAGUGUGGGAGAGGAGCAAACACCAUGCAUGUCACUGUCCCAUCGAGUCACUACCAGCUCAGAAGGACUUGAGGGAUCUGUGCUACUGGUCCCCCAACACCUGCCUGUGUCUCUUCCUGUACUCUAUCCCCAGGAGACGGCCGUGUCAUCCCCUGUUGCACAGUUGAGGGCCAGCUGCAAGCCUAUCCUGAGGCCACCUGUGAUGCUUAUGGUCCAUUAGCUUACUGGCACCUCACCUCCCAUACCAGUCCGUCACCUGCCUUGCCUUUUGCAGCUCGUGUAGCUCCCUAAUCAGUGAGUUGCUCUUCAAGGCUAGUCUCCUGGCCUUGUGAUUCCUCUCCCAGGGUGUGAACACUCUGCCCUUGCCCUCCAAUCUAUCUGGCAUCGAGAGAAUUCUUGCAGCAGUUUUAGAAAAACAAAAAUCUAUUUGUGUCAUGUUUCAUGUUGCUAGGUUGCUUUUCCUCUUCCUCCUUCUGUUCUUUUGCAAAUAACAAAUGUUUUAGUAUUAAAUUUACUAGGUUCCUUAAAAUUAUGUAACAGAUUUGUCUGUCUUAUCAUCUAUAUUCUAUUUUAAAAGUAGUCAUUCUUUUUUUGCAAUUUAAAUGCACAAAAAUAUAUACAACCUCCCUAUUCAAGUCCUCAAGGAUACACCUUUAUCAACAAAAUGUAGCAUCUUUAUUUUUAAAUAGCAAAAGCUUAAUGGUAUGAACUAAAAUGAACAGAUUCAUUU
Molecule: long non-coding RNA, 1975 nt
Filed under: Mus caroli (Ryukyu mouse)
Lineage: Eukaryota; Metazoa; Chordata; Mammalia; Rodentia; Muridae
Description: lncRNA (MGP_CAROLIEiJ_G0005843.1)
Source: RNAcentral